This 363-nucleotide ribosomal RNA is filed under the name Enterobacter hormaechei. RNAcentral's name for it is "bacterial SSU rRNA". It matches the Rfam family "Bacterial small subunit ribosomal RNA", at positions 1150 to 1512 of the family's 1533-position model. The record is from RNAcentral. RNAcentral also lists the same sequence under 1 other name. Lineage: Bacteria; Pseudomonadati; Pseudomonadota; Gammaproteobacteria; Enterobacterales; Enterobacteriaceae.
UGCCAGUGAUAAACUGGAGGAAGGUGGGGAUGACGUCAAGUCAUCAUGGCCCUUACGAGUAGGGCUACACACGUGCUACAAUGGCGCAUACAAAGAGAAGCGACCUCGCGAGAGCAAGCGGACCUCAUAAAGUGCGUCGUAGUCCGGAUUGGAGUCUGCAACUCGACUCCAUGAAGUCGGAAUCGCUAGUAAUCGUGGAUCAGAAUGCCACGGUGAAUACGUUCCCGGGCCUUGUACACACCGCCCGUCACACCAUGGGAGUGGGUUGCAAAAGAAGUAGGUAGCUUAACCUUCGGGAGGGCGCUUACCACUUUGUGAUUCAUGACUGGGGUGAAGUCGUAACAAGGUAACCGUAGGGGAACC